CUGGCGGCGUGCCUAACACAUGCAAGUCGAGCGGGGACAUACGACGGAUCGGAAGUUUCGGAUGGAAGAGAAGAUGUAUGUUCUAGCGGCGGACGGGUGAGUAACGCGUGAGCAACCUGUCCUUCACAGGGGGAUAACACAGCGAAAGUUGUACUAAUACCGCAUGAGACCACACUGGGACAUCCCAGAGGGGUCAAAGGAGCAAUCCGGUGAAGGGUGGGCUCGCGUCCGAUUAGAUAGUUGGUGAGGUAACGGCCCACCAAGUCGACGAUCGGUAGCCGACCUGAGAGGGUGAUCGGCCACAUUGGGACUGAGACACGGCCCAAACUCCUACGGGAGGCAGCAGUGGGGAAUAUUGGGCAAUGGGGGAAACCCUGACCCAGCAACGCCGCGUGAGGGAAGAAGGUUUUCGGAUCGUAAACCUCUGUCCUUGGUGAAGAGUGAGAGACGGUAGCCAAGGAGGAAGCCCCGGCUAACUACGUGCCAGCAGCCGC
This 494-nucleotide ribosomal RNA is filed under the name uncultured bacterium. Its description in RNAcentral is "bacterial SSU rRNA". It matches the Rfam family "Bacterial small subunit ribosomal RNA", at positions 36 to 518 of the family's 1533-position model. The record is from RNAcentral.